RNAcentral lists this ribosomal RNA (467 nucleotides) under uncultured bacterium. Its description in RNAcentral is "partial 16S ribosomal RNA". It matches the Rfam family "Bacterial small subunit ribosomal RNA", at positions 28 to 507 of the family's 1533-position model. The record is from RNAcentral.
GACGAACGCUGGCGGCGUGCUUAACACAUGCAAGUCGAACGGAAAGGCCUCUUUCGGGGGGUACUCGAGUGGCGAACGGGUGAGUAACACGUGAGUAACCUGCCCUUGACUUUGGGAUAACUUCAGGAAACUGGGGCUAAUACCGGAUAGGAGCUCCUGCUGCAUGGUGGGGGUUGGAAAGUUUCGGCGGUUGGGGAUGGACUCGCGGCUUAUCAGCUUGUUGGUGGGGUAGUGGCUUACCAAGGCUUUGACGGGUAUCCGGCCUGAGAGGGUGACCGGCCACAUUGGGACUGAGAUACGGCCCAGACUCCUACGGGAGGCAGAAGGGGGGAAGAUUGCACAAUGGGUGGAAGCCUGAUGCAGCAACGCCGUGUGCGGGAUGACGGCCUUCGGGCUGUAAAACGCUUUCGCUCAUGACGAAGCUUUGUGUGACGGUAGUGGGUAAAGAAGCACCGGCUAACUACGUG